AUGGCAAACUGUGGAAGAUGUGAUGACAAAUAUGCAUUCUCCUUUGUUUAUAUUUCUUCUUAUUUUUCUUCAGAGCAAAGAAACAUUCAGAAGAAUGUGAACAUUGAUCUCUGUUUGGGUGCUAGAAGUCGAGUAGGCAUUUCUCAUCGCUGGCCUGAGGCGGCUGCAUUUGGUGUAACUCCCAGCCGGGCAGCAGGACAAGGCUGGGUUUGUACCACACCUCUGCCACCUGGGCAGAGGGAGCCCAGUCCCAUACAGACUAAUCUCUCCUGCCCUUCUCAGCUAUUCCAGGACACCACCAGUCAGUUCUCCAGAUCCCCCGUCCAGCAGCAGAAUAAUCUCUGCUUCAGGCUGCAGCAGCACAGCUCUCAGUACGUGGCUCACAGGAUUCCCCGUCUUGCUUUGUCAGUGUACCCCGCUGUGAAAGUCCCUCAGAGGCACUCUCACCUGGAGGCUUUUUGUGCAGAAGGGAGAUGGAAUGAGAAUAUCAACUUCCCUCAGCAACACCAGCAGAAAGCAAAGGCAGCUGGUACCUGCUCUGCACCUACUGCUCACCAGCACUGUUUAGAAGGAAGGAAUGAGAAUGGUGACUACCCAGCAGAAAAACAGCAGCCUCGUGCUGUAUCUUGUAUCGAUCCUGGGAGCCCUUCACUGGUCAAUAAACACUUGUCACUUCAUGCUGGAGAUACCCCUCUCAGGCACAAAUUAGAGCUGUGUCCCUCUUCAAGGAGCUCAGGUGGCAGUGUGAAUGCUUGCCGUAGUUCAGCCCUGACUUUGGGGGAUCUCCGCCUGCCUAAUUUGGAAUCCUUUCAGGUUUUCUUGCAGUUGUCACGGAUUUCUGCUGGCUUGUACCGUUCAGUCUGGAGGCUGAAGCAAAAAAUUGCUUUGAUGGGGAUACGGGGUUCCCUCCCUCUGGAGCCCAGCUCUUCCCCAGGCAGUGGCAGUUUGUACUUUGCUCCUGAUGAUUCUGCUUCUUGUACCCUGAGCACAGGAGAACAGCUAGCUGGAGUGAAAAACGGUGCUGCUCAGGCCAGGUUGAAAUGGGGCAUCCCAUUUGCCAAAGGCUGCAGCCUUGAUGCAGUGGCAAGGGACUUGAGUCAUGCUGAACCUCUCUCUGUCUCUCACGGAUACGGGUAUGUUGACUCCAGCAUGUGGAGAUCGAAACUUUCAGGUGACGCCUGGCCAGAAAGACUCUCUGCUGGGGUGGGUUCUGCCAGGCUUGUGGAUACAAAAGCAGAUUCCUCCAAGAACUGCUCCCCUCGCUUCAGAUGCCAGUCCCAGGCAAAGUCAACUGUAGAAGAAAAUGGUGGUCUUUAUGUUCAUACAAAAAUUCGUUCUUCUGGAAAGGUUCUUAAAGAAGAGACAACUGGUGGGGCAUUCGCAUGUCCUAUACCUUGGAAAAAAGAUCUUCCAGCCAGCAUGUACCCUGAGGGUCUGCAGCUGUCACUGGAAACAUGUUUUGAGGGAGCUCAGAUGAAUGUUGGUGUAGCCAUGUAUGGGACUCCAAGGGAAGUGUGUUUAAGAGUCGCUUCUCCUUCUGGAGAUCAAGAGUUCAGACCAAUACAGCAGCUUAGCAUUAGACCUGCAGAAGUCAACAAUUGUGAACCUCCUGUGGAGUCCAGCAAAGCGUUAGAAGAGGUUUGUGACUCCACAUCACAAGCAGACAGAAGAAUGAUAGUGGCAGACAGCAGCCACUCCAGCCCUUUCAGUGUUCAGGACGAAAAAGGCUUUGGUGAGUAUUCUGACACAGAAUGUGGGAAUGUGAGCAGAGAAGGAAGGAGAGACCAAUGCUCCUACCAAAGCAGCUGGAGGAAUUGGGAAGCUGAUGCCAAUCUAGACUGCUCUGAAGAUCCUUCUGUGGUGAGGAGUGUCAAAGAAGCAGAGUGCUGUGAAGAAGGGAGCCAGGCACAGGAAAUUGCCUCCAGAGAGGUGAGUGUGUGCUCACUGUGUAGCAUCCCUGCUAACGGGUACUGCUUUUUGCUAGAGGUGCAGAGUUGA
Molecule: long non-coding RNA, 1998 nt
Filed under: Anas platyrhynchos platyrhynchos (common mallard)
Lineage: Eukaryota; Metazoa; Chordata; Aves; Anseriformes; Anatidae
Description: lncRNA (ENSAPLG00000027658.1)
Source: RNAcentral